RNAcentral lists this ribosomal RNA (438 nucleotides) under uncultured bacterium. Its description in RNAcentral is "partial 16S ribosomal RNA". It matches the Rfam family "Bacterial small subunit ribosomal RNA", at positions 339 to 795 of the family's 1533-position model. The record is from RNAcentral.
CUACGGGCGGCUGCAGUGGGGAAUAUUGCACAAUGGAGGAAACUCUGAUGCAGCAACGCCGCGUGGAGGAUGACACUUUUCGGAGCGUAAACUCCUUUAUAUAGGAAGGAGAUGACGGUACUAUAUGAAUAAGCGCCGGCUAACUCCGUGCCAGCAGCCGCGGUAAUACGGAGGGCGCAAGCGUUACUCGGAAUCACUGGGCGUAAAGAGCGUGUAGGCGGAUUAAAAAGUCAGAAGUGAAAUCCUAUAGCUUAACUAUAGAACUGCUUCUGAAACUCUUAAUCUAGAAUAUGGGAGAGGUAGAUGGAAUUUCUGGUGUAGGGGUAAAAUCCGUAGAGAUCAGAAGGAAUACCGAUUGCGAAGGCGAUCUACUAGAACAUUAUUGACGCUGAGACGCGAAAGCGUGGGGAGCAAACAGGAUUAGAUACCCUAGUAGUC